UUGACCUCGGAUCAGGUAGGGAUACCCGCUGAACUUAAGCAUAUCAAUAAGCGGAGGAAAAGAAACCAACAGGGAUUGCCCUAGUAACGGCGAGUGAAGCGGCAAGAGCUCAAAUUUGAAAGCUGGCCCCCUCGGGGUCCGCAUUGUAAUUUGCAGAGGAUGCUUCGGGAGCGGUCCCCAUCUA
RNAcentral lists this ribosomal RNA (184 nucleotides) under Penicillium incoloratum. RNAcentral's name for it is "partial 28S ribosomal RNA". It matches the Rfam family "Eukaryotic large subunit ribosomal RNA", at positions 1 to 183 of the family's 3401-position model. The record is from RNAcentral. Lineage: Eukaryota; Fungi; Ascomycota; Eurotiomycetes; Eurotiales; Aspergillaceae.